RNAcentral lists this non-coding RNA (35 nucleotides) under unclassified sequences. Its description in RNAcentral is "DUF805b RNA". It matches the Rfam family "DUF805b RNA". From Rfam's summary of the family: Bacteroidetes, Chlorobi (1 example), Proteobacteria. Lineage (Flavobacteria) The record is from RNAcentral.
ACAGGGGAUGCUGAAAACCUGGGAUAGAGUAAGCA